UUGCAUUCUUCAUCUCUGUUUGGUUACUCUUUAUAUUUUCUCUUUGUCAGUAACUUAACUUCUCCCUCUAUGCAUCCAUUCUUUGCCCAAGUUCUCUGAUCAUCUUUAUAGUCACUGCCCUGAUCUCUUUCUUGGUUAUUUGCCUGAAAACACUUCAGUUAGUUCUUUUGGGGUUUUAUCUUUUUCCUACGUCUGGAAAUGUUCCUCUGUUGCUUCACUUUGCCAGAAUUGCUGUUUGUAUUUUUAUGUAUUUGGUAGGUUAUGUUUCUCGACCUUAGAGACAUGGCCUUGUUUGGAGGUAACUUAUGUGUUCCAACAGUGCAUUCCCCUCUCAUCACCCAAGCUCUGUGCUCUAGGGCUUCCUCACUGUUCAUGCCGUAUGUGUCCUUCUGUUGUUGUGGGCUCUGCUGUCUGGUAGGAUUGAUGGGACAAGGUCACCGGGUGGCUGACCAUAGAACUCCAGGGGACCUGGGACUAAUGCUGCCCACUGGUGGGUGGAGUUAGGGUCUAGAAGAUUCCAGGGCUGUGGCUCACUGUAUGGUGGGUGAAGCCGAGUCCUGGAGUUAAUGCUGGCAUACUAGUGAGCAUCAGGUCCUGGAGUCUGGUCACAAGGCCCAGGAGUCCCAGAACUGUUAUCACUGGUGGGGGUGGGAGGGCCGUGUUCCUGACAAGGUGCUUGUGGGGUCCAGGAUAUCCCAAAGGUCUGACCUGCUGAUGGGCCAGGAGUAUCUCCAGGCUGCAAGAGUGUGGUUUUCUUGUGUCAGGCGUCUGUCCCUGAUGGGUAAGGCUGGUCCAAAGGCUAGAGAUGGCUCUGCGGAUGGCAGGGAAAGGGCAGGGCUGGGCCCUGGAGCCUUUGCCAGGACCAGUGUCCAUGUGGUAGAAGGAAAUCCUGAGAAUGGCUGCCACCAGUUUCGGGGUUCCCAGGCCGAGCUACACCUGGCUCCUGCCUCUUUGGAAGACACUCCGAGAUCAACAUGUAGGUCUGACCCGGGCUCCUGGCACUGACUGCUUCUGCCCUGGGUCCUGGAGCAGGUAAGGGUGUGCAUGCCCUUUAUGAGUGAAGCCUGGCUGUCCCCCAGCCCUCUGGGAUGCCUGAAAGUAGAAGUCACUGGGGGCUACCUUCCCAGCGGGAGGCUGGGCUGGGGAGCCUGACGGGGGACACAGAGCUCUCAGUCCUUGGGGGGAACAGGAUAUAACUCUCCUGUUCAUAGGGCUUCCUUUGGGGGUAUGCAGUUUGACUACAGCAUGAAUCCUGCCCUCCUGCCCAUCGCUUGGUUCCUCCUUUAUGUGGAAGAUCUUCUCUGGUAGGUUCCAGUCUUUUUAUCAGUGGUUGUUCUGUAAAUAGCUGUGACUUUGGUGUGCCCACGAAACAUGAGCUCAGGGUGUUGUUCCACCAUCCUGGCCAGUCUCCUCCAGAAUGAAUUUUUAAAAGAAUGUCGAGUCUCCUGCAGAAUUACAGAGAGGGCUAGUGCCAUACAGCCAGGAACAAUGCCUGAAAUGACUGUAUGGUUUUGGCCUGAUGGAAGACAGCUCCUGUCCUGGAAGCUCUACAUGGCUCACCUUGUGGACCCACUAACCUUGGGCACUUUCCUGCCUCUGCCAGACCUCCUCACAGUGCCCUCAUCCCAAUCCACGGCCCCUUUCAGGUGGAAGUUAAGCAUGUUGUCAUGCUCACAGAGUGUAUAGGAAAGCAGCCAGUAGGCAUUUCAGCUGUAUUAGGAGGGGAUGCUGGUGCAGGUUUUCCCACGGAAAGGGGGCUGAGGCCAUUCCUGGCUCAAAAGGACAUUAUCUUCUGCCAGGCUUUAGAUCAGUGCUUCAUCUUUGAUUUAUUAACCACCUGAAGCUCUUGCUGAAUGCACUUUCCAGUUGAGAGGGCUGGAAGGAGGGGGCUUGGCUGAGCCACACUAGAGCCGGAGCCAAAAGGAAAAAUCAGUGAUACUGACCCUGUCUUUAUUUAAGACUUUGAUAUUCAUUUGUCAUGGAAUUUGCAUUAACCUUAAUUUAAAAAAAAUACUGCAUUAAAAUAACAUCUUUUUUGUUUUGGCUACACUUGUGGCAUAUGGAAAUUCCCAGGCAGUCUGAGCAGCAGCUGUAACCUAACCACAGCCGCGGCGAUGCUGGAUCCUCAACCCACUGAGCUGGACCAGGGAGCGAACCAGGUCUUCCCCAGAGACAAGCUGGAGUAUUAACCCACGGCACCACGAAGUAAAACUAUCUACGUUACCACACAUGCCAGCUGCUACCAAGACGCUGAGCCAUCACUUCUGGAAAGAAAAUGCCUUUUAGAUGGUCAAUAACUGUGCUCAUCCUUUAAGGAGCCAGCUGGCCAAAUGGAUAACUUGUCCUUCAAGUCCCAGUGUAAUGGGGCCUGUGGCUCAAAGGUGUGGAUGGUUCACUCUGGGCUGCAGCUUCCAGGAAAAGCAGACCUGGGCCCAAGGCUGGGAGCCAGGCUUUUACCUGCAGUUCCCGGUUCCUCAUGGCAUCCAGGAGCAUGGGCGUUCUUGCUUCUGUCUCUAUGGGAUCCUUUCACAGCUACUACAGAAAAGGCUAGAAGUCCCCAAACACAUGGUAGGUGGUCUGGAGAAAAGAAGCUGGGGUAAAGAAUCAGAAGAACGAUGAACACAAAGAUUGGCCAAAGUCCAUGUGCUGAAUGGUGUGCCGUGUGAAAGGCCGGGCGGGGCCAGGGGGUGGCUCUCAUGAGGAGCUCUCAGCCUGGAGACCUUGCUCCACGUGCGCCCUCGGAUGGAAUCUUCUCUAGAACUAGGAGGAGCUUCAGGCACCAGGACCUGGGAUUGUACAAAUACACUCUUGACAAGGGCCACCGUCAGUUCGGCUUCUCGGCACUCUUGAGCCUUCCACACCUGGUCCCUUCACCUCGUGUAAGAAAUAAAUAAACAGGGCAAGGAAGAGCCAGUACCUGGCAACAGGAGUG
Phacochoerus africanus (Common warthog) is the source of this 2932-nucleotide long non-coding RNA. RefSeq lists it as uncharacterized. The transcript has 3 exons. Lineage: Eukaryota; Metazoa; Chordata; Mammalia; Artiodactyla; Suidae. The record is from RefSeq and is a predicted model, not a curated record.